Molecule: transfer RNA, 67 nt
Filed under: Pyrearinus termitilluminans (Brazilian larval click-beetle)
Lineage: Eukaryota; Metazoa; Arthropoda; Insecta; Coleoptera; Elateridae
Description: tRNA-Asp
Source: RNAcentral
AAAGAUUUAGUUAAGACAUAACGUUAGCGUGUCAAGCUAAAAUCAUUAAUAACAAUAAUAAUCUUUA